UACGUAGGGGGCAAGCGUUGUCCGGAUUCAUUGGGCGUAAAGAGCGUGUAGGCGGCCAGGUAGGUCGGUUGUGAAAACUGGAGGCUCAACCUUCAGAGGUCGACCGAAACCAUCUGGCUAGAGUCCGGGAGAGGAGAGUGGAAUUCCUGGUGUAGCGGUGAAAUGCGCAGAUAUCAGGAAGAACACCGGUGGCGAAGGCGGAUCUCUGGGCCUUACCUGACGCUCAGGCACGAAAGCUAGGGGAGCGAACAGG
This 253-nucleotide ribosomal RNA is filed under the name uncultured bacterium. RNAcentral describes it as "partial 16S ribosomal RNA". It matches the Rfam family "Bacterial small subunit ribosomal RNA", at positions 524 to 776 of the family's 1533-position model. The record is from RNAcentral.